Molecule: ribosomal RNA, 254 nt
Filed under: uncultured bacterium
Lineage: Bacteria
Description: partial 16S ribosomal RNA
Rfam family: Bacterial small subunit ribosomal RNA
Source: RNAcentral
CACGUAGGGUGCGAGCGUUGUCCGGAAUUAUUGGGCGUAAAGAGCUCGUAGGCGGUGUGUCGCGUCGGCCGUGAAAACUGGGGGCUUAACUCUGAGCGUGCGGUCGAUACGGGCAUCACUUGAGUUCGGCAGGGGAGACUGGAAUUCCUGGUGUAGCGGUGAAAUGCGCAGAUAUCAGGAGGAACACCGGUGGCGAAGGCGGGUCUCUGGGCCGAUACUGACGCUGAGGAGCGAAAGCAUGGGGAGCGAACAGG